AUGGCCACAGCCUAUGAUGAAGACCACUCCAUUUCACCAUCUCAGAAUGACGAUACAGAUGAUAGGAGGAGCACCAUCCCAGCAGCUAGUGCUGAUGAGAAGCCAUUCCCGUUCUUCGGGCUGCUCUGCUACGCUGAUAAGGUGGACUGGCUCCUCAUGGCCUUGGGAACCGUCGGGUCUGCCAUCCAUGGCAUGGCAUUCCCGAUCGGAUAUCUCCUUCUCGGAAAAGCACUUGAUGCCUUCGGAACCAACAUAAAUAAUCAGGAGGCCAUGGUCCAUGCAUUGUACAAGGUGGUUCCGUAUGUGUGGUACAUGGCGGCAGCUACUUUUCCUGCUGGAAUGGUUGAGAUCUCCUGCUGGAUAUACUCGAGUGAGAGGCAGUUAGCACGCAUGCGGCUGGAAUAUCUGAGAUCAGUUCUCAAUCAAGAGGUUGGUGCCUUCGACACAGACUUGACCACUGCAAACAUCAUCACCGGGGUAACCAACCACAUGAAUGUCAUACAAGAUGCAAUUGGUGAGAAGCUUGGUCAUUUCGUCGCAAGCUUCUCCACUUUCUUUGCUGGUAUAAUAAUUGCAUUUGCCAGCUGCUGGGAAGUCGCGAUGCUCUCCUUCCUGGUUAUUCCUCUGAUCCUCGCUAUUGGAGCCACAUAUACGAAAAAGAUGAAUGUCAUAUCAUUGUCACGCAAUGCUAUUGUCUCACAAGCAACAUCUGUCGUAGAACAGACUUUGUCACAUAUCAAGACUGUCUUCUCCUUUGUCGGAGAGAACUGGGCCAUGGAAUCCUUUGUGCAGUGCACAGACAAUCAAUACAAACUAAGCAAGAAGGAGGCGGUGAUAAAGGGAAUAGGGCUGGGCUUGUUCCAAACAGUGACCUUUUGUUCAUGGGCACUGAUGGUUUGGAUUGGGGCAGUUGCAGUAAGCAACCGGGCAGCAACAGGAGGUGGCACGAUAGCUGCCAUCAUGAGCAUCCUCUUUGGCGCAAUAUAA
Molecule: ribosomal RNA, 987 nt
Filed under: Triticum aestivum (bread wheat)
Lineage: Eukaryota; Viridiplantae; Streptophyta; Magnoliopsida; Poales; Poaceae
Description: partial small subunit ribosomal RNA
Source: RNAcentral